AAUGAACGCUGGCGGCAUGCCUAACACAUGCAAGUCGAACGACAGCACAGGGAGCGCUUGCGCUUACGGGUGGCGAGUGGCGGAAGGGUGAUGAAUGCAUCGGAAUCCUCUUAUUCGUGUGGGAUAACGUAGGGAGAUUUAUGCUAACACAUCAUAUAUCGUACGGGUGAAAGCAGGGGUUCUUCGGGCUUUUCGUGGUGGUAAGAGCCGACGUCGGAUUAGCUAGUUGGCUGGGUAAAGGCCCGGCUAGGCCACGAUACGUAGCUGAUCCGAGAGGGUGAUCCGCCACACUGGAACUGAGACACGGCCCCGACUCCUACGGGAGGCCGCAGUGGGGAAUCUUACGCAAGGGGGGAAAGCCUGAUCCAGCCAAACCGCGUGAGUGAUGAAGGACUUCGGGUUGGAAAGCCCUUUUGUUGGGAAAGAAAAAAAGCAGGUUUAUACCCCACUGUUCUGACGGUACCCAAAGAAUAAGCACCAGCUAACUUCGUG
RNAcentral lists this ribosomal RNA (492 nucleotides) under uncultured bacterium. Its description in RNAcentral is "partial 16S ribosomal RNA". It matches the Rfam family "Bacterial small subunit ribosomal RNA", at positions 29 to 507 of the family's 1533-position model. The record is from RNAcentral.